This 725-nucleotide ribosomal RNA is filed under the name Psathyrella sp. BAB-5011. RNAcentral's name for it is "eukaryotic LSU rRNA". The stretch from base 287 to 440 matches the Rfam family "5.8S ribosomal RNA". Lineage: Eukaryota; Fungi; Basidiomycota; Agaricomycetes; Agaricales; Psathyrellaceae. The record is from RNAcentral.
UUCCGUAGGGUGAACCUGCGGAAGGAUCAUUAACGAAUAUCUAUGGCGUUGGUUGUAGCUGGCUCCUAGGAGCAUCUUGUGCACACCCGUCAUUCAGAUCAUCUUUCCACCUGUGAACCAUGUGUAGGCCUGGAUACCCCUCGCUUUGGCAACAAAGCGGAUGCAAGGAUUGCUGUGUCGACAAGGCCGGCUCUCUUUGAAUUUCCAGGUUCUAUGUCUUUUACACACCCCAUUUGAAUGAUGUAGAAUGUAGUCAAUGGGCUUUCACGCCUAUAAAACACUAUACAACUUUCAGCAACGGAUCUCUUGGCUCUCGCAUCGAUGAAGAACGCAGCGAAAUGCGAUAAGUAAUGUGAAUUGCAGAAUUCAGUGAAUCAUCGAAUCUUUGAACGCACCUUGCGCUCCUUGGUAUUCCGAGGAGCAUGCCUGUUUGAGUGUCAUUAAAUUCUCAACCUCACCAGUUUUGUAACAAAGACCAGGGGAGGGUUUGGAUGGGGGGGUUUUGCAGGUUGCCUUCAGGGUUGUUUUGUUCUUCUGAAAUGCUUUACCAGGGAGCUCAUGUUGAGCCUCCCGCCUAAUGGUUGUGAUAAUUAUUUCCCCCGUGGAAUUGGACUCAUGCUUGCUUCUAACCGUCCGCAAGGACAAUUUACUUGACCAAUUUGACCUCAAAUCAGGUAGAUGAGCGUCCCCGCUGAUACUUAAGCAUAUCAAUAAGGCCGGAGGAA